GACGAACGCUGGCGGCGUGCUUAACACAUGCAAGUCGAACGGAAAGGCCCUGCUUUUGUGGGGUGCUCGAGUGGCGAACGGGUGAGUAACACGUGAGUAACCUGCCCUUGACUUUGGGAUAACUUCAGGAAACUGGGGCUAAUACCGGAUAGGAGCUCCUGCUGCAUGGUGGGGGUUGGAAAGUUUCGGCGGUUGGGGAUGGACUCGCGGCUUAUCAGCUUGUUGGUGGGGUAGUGGCUUACCCAGGCUUUGACGGGUAGCCGGCCUGAGAGGGUGACCGGCCACAUUGGGACUGAGAUACGGCCCAGACUCGUACGGGAGGCAGCAGUGGGGAAUAUUGCACAAUGGGCGGAAGCCUGAUGCAGCAACGCCGCGUGCGGGAUGACGGCCUUCGGGUUGUAAACCGCUUUCGCCUGUGACGAAGCGGGAGUGACGGUAAUGGGUAAAGAAGCACCGGCUAACUACGUG
RNAcentral lists this ribosomal RNA (468 nucleotides) under uncultured bacterium. Its description in RNAcentral is "partial 16S ribosomal RNA". It matches the Rfam family "Bacterial small subunit ribosomal RNA", at positions 28 to 507 of the family's 1533-position model. The record is from RNAcentral.